Molecule: small nuclear RNA, 108 nt
Organism: Hemicordylus capensis (graceful crag lizard)
Lineage: Eukaryota; Metazoa; Chordata; Lepidosauria; Squamata; Cordylidae
Source: RefSeq, a predicted model, not a curated record
GUGAUCGCUUCAGCAGCACAUAUACUCAAACUGGAACGAUGCAGAGAAGAUUAGCAUGGCCCCUGCACAACGAAUGACAGGCCAUUGCAGAAUCAGUGCUUUGGAUUU